Molecule: transfer RNA, 74 nt
Filed under: Caudoviricetes sp.
Lineage: Duplodnaviria; Heunggongvirae; Uroviricota; Caudoviricetes
Description: tRNA-Ile
Rfam family: tRNA
About the family: Transfer RNA (tRNA) molecules are approximately 80 nucleotides in length. Their secondary structure includes four short double-helical elements and three loops (D, anti-codon, and T loops).
Source: RNAcentral
UGGAACAUAGCUCAGCAGUGUAGAGCAGCUGGCUUAUAUCCAGCGUGUCCCAGGUUCAAGUCCUGGUGUUCCAA